Molecule: ribosomal RNA, 427 nt
Filed under: Firmicutes bacterium SCGC AAA044-P03
Lineage: Bacteria; Bacillati; Bacillota
Description: bacterial SSU rRNA
Rfam family: Bacterial small subunit ribosomal RNA
Source: RNAcentral
GUCGGGAAUUUUGCGCAAUGGGGGAAACCCUGACGCAGCAAUACCGCGUGUGGGAUGAAGGCCUUCGGGUCGUAAAUCACUUUUCUCGGGGACGAUAAUGACGGUACCCGAGGAAUAAGCCACGGCUAACUACGUGCCAGCAGCCGCGGUAAUACGUAGGUGGCAAGCGUUGUCCGGAUUUACUGGGCGUAAAGCGCGCGCAGGCGGUGAAUGAAGUCGAAAGUGAAAGCCCCGGGCUCAACUCGGGAACAGCUUUCGAAACCAGUUCACUUGAAGGUGGAAGAGGGAAGUGGAAUUCCGAGUGUAGCGGUGGAAUGCGCAGAUAUUCGGAGGAACACCAGAGGCGAAGGCGACUUCCUGGUCCAAUCUUGACGCUGAGGCGCGAAAGCUAGGGGAGCAAACAGGAUUAGAUACCCCGGUAGUCCGG